This is an RNA transcript of Amyelois transitella, 3177 nucleotides long. RefSeq lists it as uncharacterized. The record is from RefSeq and is a predicted model, not a curated record. NCBI's taxonomy places the organism in Eukaryota, Metazoa, Arthropoda, Insecta, Lepidoptera, Pyralidae. The transcript has 7 exons.
UACUAUUUCAUAAACUAUUAAAAUGUUUAAUAUGUAUGCAACUAAAUAGCUUUUAAAUAUUUAAAGAUCAUAUGUAAGUAAAUCUCUUAACAUGGGCAUUUAUCAUUGGAAACUUGGAGAUGUAGCGCUCGCUAGAGUUUGCCAAAAAGUUUACGCGAAAGUUCAAGUUGUAAAAGACGAAAAAGGCUUAUUUUAUGACUGGAAAGUUCUAGGCAUCACAGCCGACGAAAAUGGCAAUCUCUUGGUGACCAAAGAGCUCUGUUACUAUGCUGAAAUGUGUAGUACAAAACACAGGCUGUGGUUACCUUACACUUGUCUUCACCUCGCUGAGCGGUCCCGACCAUUUUAGGGAGUUAAUAAGGUUUCUCCGCCAAAACCAGUUGUAAAUAAACUUGGGAAUACUACAAGAAAGAGAAAACUAAAAGAAGACCACACAUUACCACUCAACAUUAAACCAAGCAACCGCGCCCCCGACCUUAACGUCACUUAUGACAAAACCCACACUCCUCUAAACACACACACCCCAGUCAAACAAGGUCGUUACCAGAACGCCUUUAACGAAUUUGUCCGUCAUGGAAAAGAGAUGUUAUUCGAUCAUUUUUACUUUCAACUAAAGAAUAAUUUCAAUGAAAAUGCGGAUUGCUUGGAUUACUUAAUGAAUGUUGAUGCAAGUACGGAAGAUAAGUUUGAGUUGGUUAUAAAGAAUAUUGUGACAAUUAAAGAGGUUGAGAAUUACUUGCAUCAGUGCUGGAGAUACAAUUUCGUUGCUAAAGCAGAGAGCAAAGAGUAUGAUAAUUCUAAUAAAACUCCACCGCCAAAGACAGCAAUAACACUGCACACUCCGUGGUGCCUCGUGUGCGGCGUUAGUGUCAGCAAGUUACGAGAAUGUGUCAACUGCCCAGCGUCCUACCACCUGGCUUGCCGGAGGGAGUGGCUGCUCACUCUCAUACACCGCAAAAACCCACCUAAAAAGGCGCAAAAGCAGGUGACCCUAGUGGAGAAGAUACUAUCCAGUACAAGAACUAUUUGCUCUGUGCAGAAAAAUAACAAUAAGGAGAACUUCGAUCUGUGCCCCAGUUGCAUGUGGGGACCUAAAGUCGGGUACGACGACGUGGUCUGGCACAAACUCGGCUCGUGUUCGUGGUGGCCCGCGAGGGUGUUGACCCCGGGCGCGACGCCAUCUUGUCUCCUCACUCGCUCGCACACCCCCCACCAGUGGCCGCUGAGGUAUUACGGUGCAGAAAAUUACUCGUGGGGGGACAGCGCCCGUAUGUGUUUGUUCCUGCCUAGCCACACGGGCGCCCUGGAAACCACCAGAGACCCAUUGUUGAAGCAAGGCAUCCUAGAUGCCUGCGAUGAUUACAUAGCUGUUUACUUAACAUAGUCGGUAUUUUAUUGGAGGUUAUACACCGUUUUGCUAAGAAACUUUUUUUUUAAUAAAGGAGAAACGACACGUUUAUUGUUGACCAUAUCUUUAGGUCCGCCACACGAUGUCCUUAUGUCAACUAUAAUUAUUUUAAAGCUUUUACGGACAAAUAACACUGAUUGAGUUAGCCUCGAAGUAAGUUCGAAACUUGUGUUACGAGAUACUAACUCAACGAUACUAUAUUUUAGAAUAAAUACUUACUAAGAUAAACAUCGAGAAAGUUCGUUUCUCAUCAUGCCCUGGCCGGGAUUCGAACUCGGGACCUCCGGUGAUACAGACAAGCGCACUACCGCUGCGCCACAGAAGCCGUCAAUGCUGUUUUUAACCUUUAAAAUAAUAAUAGUUGAUUUAACGUUGUUAUUUGAUCCUUUUACAAUGUAUAACAUAUCUAUUGCAAUUGCCAUGGUAGUAAAUACCGUUUUUAAAUUUAGUAUUAUUGAAAGUGUGAAAGCAAAGCUUUUAUUUUCUGAAAGAAGUUCAUAUUACGACAGCUCCAUUAAUUUUAUUUAAAAAAGCGGACGUGUUGAAAUAUACUUUUGAAGUGGUGAUAAUAUUGGAUAUAAUUAUUGCAAUUUUCAUGCCAAAAAUUAGUUUUUAACUAUUUUAGAAUUUACAUCUGUUUUUUUAUCAUGUUGACUUGUUUUAUCUUUGUUGUUUUAUUAAAAUAAAAUGUAGGUUUCGAUACUUAAAAAGAACUAUCACAUUUUUGUGUAGGUUUACAUUGAUAAAAUGUUUUGUUUAUAGAAUUUAGGUUUUUAUUUUUCUGUUCGAAAGAUGAUUGUUAUUUUGUUUAUGUUUUUGUUAUAUUUGUUAUUGUUUUAUCAUGUUCGAUAUUUUCGCAUGUUUUUUUUACCUAAAUGUCGGUUUAAUUUUUUUACUUAAGUUCUAAGAUAUUUUUAUUAAGAAAAGUUUUGUUACAGCCUGUAAGGCUACUAUAAUCAUAAUCUAGCAAGUUCCGUGUCACGUAUUACAACCACGAAUCGUUUAUUGCGAAAAUCAACAGAUAAAAUUUUCGACUUUGUAAUUAAUAUUAGCCGAUGUUAUCUUUCAUAUCUCCUAACAUAGAACAAGAGUACUUAAAAAAUGACUAGCCCCGCCUACUAAUCCACGCAUGGAGUUCGUGAAAAACUAUAUUAAAAUUCAAAAUCAUUGUAUUGUUUGUCUGUCAAACGUUUACCUAAUUAAUUUUUUAUCAAGUAUUUACACGCAACUGUGUCCGCGCGAAUUUAGCGCUUCCUACACGUGCCAAUAAAGCGCCACCCACAAAGAAUAUAGGUUUUUCGCAAAUACGACAAUAAACUUUUGUUUUUACAGGACUGAAAAGUACUCUUCUACAGACUUAAAUUUAAUUAAUCGAGACUCCGGAAUUAAAUAUUUCAAGAAGAUUGGUUCAGUAGAUAAAUCGUGAAGAGAAACAUACAAACGAAAACUUUCGCAUUUACAAUAUUAGUUGUGUUACAUAAAAUCACGCCUCUUUCCUCAUGGUUUGGGCAUAAACUUUUAUACAUAUUUAAUUGUUACAGAAAUAAAAUUUUAAGUACUUGCGUAAGUGUUAGUUCGCAAUUUUCGACAGGACUUUUCUGUUUCUCACCUAUCUAACAACAAAAAGAAAAGCUAGUUAGGACGGAUGUCAAAAAAAUUAUAAUUAUCAUUACUAUUUUUCAAGCGACACCGAAUUGCAAGAUAUAAAUUGUUAAAAACGUUUAAAAAUCGAUCAAUCAUUUUGACGGGACGUUAUCUGUGGAUUUAGA